UGCUGUGAGCUCGAUGAGUAGGGCGGGACACGUGGUAUCCUGUCUGAAUAUGGGGGGACCAUCCUCCAAGGCUAAAUACUCCUGACUGACCGAUAGUGAACCAGUACCGUGAGGGAAAGGCGAAAAGAACCCCGGCGAGGGGAGUGAAAAAGAACCUGAAACCGUGUACGUACAAGCAGUGGGAGCACAGGUUUACCUGUGUGACUGCGUACCUUUUGUAUAAUGGGUCAGCGACUUAUAUUCUGUAGCAAGGUUAACCGUAUAGGGGAGCCGGAGGGAAACCGAGUCUUAAUUGGGCGUUAAGUUGCAGGGUAUAGACCCGAAACCCGGUGAUCUAGCCAUGGGCAGGUUGAAGGUUGGGUAACACUAACUGGAGGACCGAACCGACUAAUGUUGAAAAAUUAGCGGAUGACCUGUGGCUGGGGGUGAAAGGCCAAUCAAACCGGGAGAUAGCUGGUUCUCCCCGAAAGCUAUUUAGGUAGCGCCUCGUGAAUUCAUCUCCGGGGGUAGAGCACUGUUUCGGCUAGGGGGCCAUCCCGGCUUACCAACCCGAUGCAAACUGCGAAUACCGGAGAAUGUUAUCACGGGAGACACACGGCGGGUGCUAACGUCCGUCGUGAAGAGGGAAACAACCCAGACCGCCAGCUAAGGUCCCAAAGUCAUGGUUAAGUGGGAAACGAUGUGGGAAGGCCCAGACAGCCAGGAUGUUGGCUUAGAAGCAGCCAUCAUUUAAAGAAAGCGUAAUAGCUCACUGGUCGAGUCGGCCUGCGCGGAAGAUGUAACGGGGCUAAACCAUGCACCGAAGCUGCGGCAGCGACACUGUGUGUUGUUGGGUAGGGGAGCGUUCUGUAAGCCUGUGAAGGUGUGUCGUGAGGCAUGCUGGAGGUAUCAGAAGUGCGAAUGCUGACAUAAGUAACGAUAAAGCGGGUGAAAAGCCCGCUCGCCGGAAGACCAAGGGUUCCUGUCCAACGUUAAUCGGGGCAGGGUGAGUCGACCCCUAAGGCGAGGCCGAAAGGCGUAGUCGAUGGGAAACGGGUUAAUAUUCCCGUACUUGGUGUUACUGCGAAGGGGGGACGGAGAAGGCUAUGUUGGCCGGGCGACGGUUGUCCCGGUUUAAGCGUGUAGGUGUGUGUUCCAGGUAAAUCCGGUUCACUUUAACACUGAGGCGUGACGACGAGGCACUACGGUGCUGAAGCAACAAAUGCCCUGCUUCCAGGAAAAGCCUCUAAGCAUCAGGUAACAUCAAAUCGUACCCCAAACCGACACAGGUGGUCAGGUAGAGAAUACCAAGGCGCUUGAGAGAACUCGGGUGAAGGAACUAGGCAAAAUGGUGCCGUAACUUCGGGAGAAGGCACGCUGACACGUAGGUGAAGUGAUUUACUCAUGGAGCUGAAGUCAGUCGAAGAUACCAGCUGGCUGCAACUGUUUAUUAAAAACACAGCACUGUGCAAACACGAAAGUGGACGUAUACGGUGUGACGCCUGCCCGGUGCCGGAAGGUUAAUUGAUGGGGUCAGCGCAAGCGAAGCUCCUGAUCGAAGCCCCGGUAAACGGCGGCCGUAACUAUAACGGUCCUAAGGUAGCGAAAUUCCUUGUCGGGUAAGUUCCGACCUGCACGAAUGGCGUAAUGAUGGCCAGGCUGUCUCCACCCGAGACUCAGUGAAAUUGAACUCGCUGUGAAGAUGCAGUGUACCCGCGGCAAGACGGAAAGACCCCGUGAACCUUUACUAUAGCUUGACACUGAACAUUGAGCCUUGAUGUGUAGGAUAGGUGGGAGGCUUUGAAGCGUGGACGCCAGUCUGCGUGGAGCCGACCUUGAAAUACCACCCUUUAAUGUUUGAUGUUCUAACGUGGACCCGUGAUCCGGGUUGCGGACAGUGUCUGGUGGGUAGUUUGACUGGGGCGGUCUCCUCCUAAAGAGUAACGGAGGAGCACGAAGGUUGGCUAAUCCUGGUCGGACAUCAGGAGGUUAGUGCAAUGGCAUAAGCCAGCUUGACUGCGAGCGUGACGGCGCGAGCAGGUGCGAAAGCAGGUCAUAGUGAUCCGGUGGUUCUGAAUGGAAGGGCCAUCGCUCAACGGAUAAAAGGUACUCCGGGGAUAACAGGCUGAUACCGCCCAAGAGUUCAUAUCGACGGCGGUGUUUGGCACCUCGAUGUCGGCUCAUCACAUCCUGGGGCUGAAGUAGGUCCCAAGGGUAUGGCUGUUCGCCAUUUAAAGUGGUACGCGAGCUGGGUUUAGAACGUCGUGAGACAGUUCGGUCCCUAUCUGCCGUGGGCGCUGGAGAACUGAGGGGGGCUGCUCCUAGUACGAGAGGACCGGAGUGGACGCAUCACUGGUGUUCGGGUUGUCAUGCCAAUGGCACUGCCCGGUAGCUAAAUGCGGAAGAGAUAAGUGCUGAAAGCAUCUAAGCACGAAACUUGCCCCGA
RNAcentral lists this ribosomal RNA (2425 nucleotides) under Salmonella enterica subsp. enterica serovar Stanley. Its description in RNAcentral is "partial 23S ribosomal RNA". It matches the Rfam family "Bacterial large subunit ribosomal RNA", at positions 395 to 2802 of the family's 2925-position model. Lineage: Bacteria; Pseudomonadati; Pseudomonadota; Gammaproteobacteria; Enterobacterales; Enterobacteriaceae. The record is from RNAcentral.